Molecule: long non-coding RNA, 1225 nt
Organism: Rhagoletis zephyria (snowberry fruit fly)
Lineage: Eukaryota; Metazoa; Arthropoda; Insecta; Diptera; Tephritidae
Source: RefSeq, a predicted model, not a curated record
CGAACUUUCUUUCGCCUUUUCAACGUGCUAAGUAACAAGUUAAGAUGACUGCCAUCAUGGGCCGUUAAGAAACCGCAAGCAAAGGGCAGACAACCUUCCAGGAAGCUGCCUCCUGUCCCCGAGCCGAAGCUGCAGUUCAGCAAGAGCAGGUCAGCAAAUUGCUACCCUGAUCAAACGUAAACUAAAGCGCUCUGCUGUGAUUGCACUCCGUAAAUGUGAAAACUUGGUGUUUGCUGAGAAAUAUCAAACAAGAAAACUCCGUGAUGGACGCCGUGAGAUGGAGUAACGCUGUGUGGCAAAGAAAUGCGGCCAAUUCGACGGGCCUGAAAAAUCCAAAUUGGCUUUUGUGAUCCGCAUCCGCGGUAUCAACAAAGUUGCACAAAAAGUGCGUAGUUUUACAGUUCUGUCUUCGCCACAUUAAAACGGUGUGUUCAUCAAAUUGAGCAAGGCAAUCAUUAAUAUGCUACGUAUGCCGAACCCCUAUAUGGGGUUAUCCAAAUCUUAAAUCACUGGCGCAAGACGUUGAGGUUUGUGAUUUCGGUAGCCGUGAGGAUAAGAUCAACAAAUUGCUGCACAAGAUGGCUUAAAGAAAUUGUUGUUUUGUAUUUAAGGCGACAAUAUAAUUUGGCACAUCUUCAAAAGACGCUCAAGCAAAAAAAAAAGAAAGAAAAUUAAAACAUUCCUGAAGUUGCCUUUUCACGGGUCGAUUUCUGUCGACUGGAAAAUUUACUUAAGAUAUCGACUAGCCAAAACGCUUACAUUUUACGGUUGAAUUGCAAUUUACACGGGUAGAUUUUGGUUAAACGACAAAAAUCGACCGUGUAAAGGCAGCUUAAAUAACGUUCAAAUUAAUCACCCCCUCUGAGAUGGAAAAUACCAAUAACCAUUUCAUAAUUUCGAAAAUUAUUCCAUUUAUAUUUGUUCUUGCAUUUUCCACACCACUUGUGAGGUAUGCUUUUACGCGCGUUACCGAUUUUUUUUUAAUGUGCUCGGUUGCCCAGGAGGCCUAUUUUCACCUUUACAACUUAACUUAAACAAUUAAAACUAAAGCAUGCAAUAUAUAAAGAAAAUUAAAAGUUGUCUUACAUCUAGUAAACUUAAAAAAUUGCACAUUAAAUUCAUUUUUCAUUAUAAAAUAAAAUUAAAUAUCACAAUUCAGUUUACAAAAUGUGGUCUGUUUGCACCCACAGUAAGUUCCCAUGAAGCCUAGUCUAAAUUCGGAAUU